UAAACCCUACAGUCAAAGCAAUGGGGAUGGUCCCUGAGAGUGGUGUGCAAGCUCAAGUUCGAGUUGAGAAGCCUGAAGCUCUUAUCACUGUCGCCCACCUUAGCGAAACCGGGUUUG
Molecule: small RNA, 117 nt
Filed under: Pseudobdellovibrionaceae bacterium
Lineage: Bacteria; Pseudomonadati; Bdellovibrionota; Bdellovibrionia; Bdellovibrionales; Pseudobdellovibrionaceae
Also listed under: 1 other name
Description: Bdellovibrionaceae bacterium 6S RNA
Rfam family: 6S / SsrS RNA
About the family: E. coli 6S RNA was the first non coding RNA to be sequenced, but its function was unknown until recently. It consists of 184 nucleotides that fold into an extended hairpin structure with a large single-stranded internal bulge. The 6S RNA specifically associates with RNA polymerase holoenzyme containing the sigma70 specificity factor.
Source: RNAcentral